Molecule: long non-coding RNA, 571 nt
Organism: Homalodisca vitripennis (glassy-winged sharpshooter)
Lineage: Eukaryota; Metazoa; Arthropoda; Insecta; Hemiptera; Cicadellidae
Exons: 3
Source: RefSeq, a predicted model, not a curated record
GUAAACAGAUAACGUGGAUGCUUCUAAACCAGGAAAGACGAACGCUUGCAGUUCCAAGCCUGCCUACUCAGUUGUAAUCCGUUUUCUUUAUAGCGAUAAAACGUUUUACUCGGAUAUUAUUACUGAUAACGCUGUAAAAUCGACUGUUAGUAGUCGAUGACAUGUCAAUAUACAAUAAUGUAUAAAACUACUUUAGGGUAAAAUAACCGCGUACAAAAAAAUAAGUUUCGUAGGCAUAUAACGUUCUUUGAGCAAUACCUUUAGGUUUUAAUAAGAGAACUUAGAUUGAAUGGAAUUGAUUUUCAACUGUCCGUGUCGGAAAACGCUAAUACAGUACAAACAGUGCUAUAUAGUGAUAAAUAGUGAUAGACAGUGCAACAUUUCGUUAGUCCUAGGAAAAUAUUUUGGUUUUUUAGAUAGCCCACACCAAAUUACUUCAACUGUUAUAUAGAUACAGUGCAGGAUUGUUGCAAUGAGUUUAUAAAACAUAUGUUCACCAAUAUCCACGAGUUACUUUACGUAAGGCUGUUAUGGACAAGAACCGAGACUUGGAAUUGCCCAUUUGUUGGUA